Long non-coding RNA from Callithrix jacchus (white-tufted-ear marmoset), 2344 nucleotides. The record is from Ensembl. Lineage: Eukaryota; Metazoa; Chordata; Mammalia; Primates; Cebidae.
GUGGCUCCUGCAUGUGCGCCAGCUCCUGCAAGUACAAAGGGUGCAAAUGCACCUCCUGCAAGACGAGUGAGUGUGGGGCCAUCUCCAGGAAUCUGGGGCUGUGGCUAAGGUUGAGAGGGAACCCUGGGCUGGCCCUGAGUACAUUCUUCUGGGGAACUGGGCUUUCUUUGCCCCUGUUGGCUGUGUCAUUUUCUCUCAGAGGGCUUUGUGCCCUCUGGGUCUGGGGUCUGAGCUGGAGCCAAGCUUGCUAUUAGGGAGGUGCCUGAUCAAGUCAGCUCACCUCUCAUUCUUCCCUUUCAUCUCAGGCUGCUGUUCCUGUUGUCCCAUGGGCUGUGCCAAGUGUGCCCAGGGCUGCAUCUGCAAAGGGGCGUCUGAGAAGUGCAGCUGCUGUGCCUGAUAUGGGGACAGCUCUGCUUCCAGAUGUAAAUAGACCAACCUGCACAAACCUGGAUUUAAAAAAAAAAUAACCCUAAGCCGUUUGCUGCAUUUCUUUUUCUCUUAAAUAUGUGAGUGACAAUAAAAUGAUUUGAAUCUUAUCUGGCCUUUUUUGUGUGUCUUGGAAUAAAUGGAUUGGGGUGGGAAUUGAGCUGGGAGUUUAGAGACCAGGCUCUGGGUGGAAAUGUGAGCCACUAACAAUGCGAACACCUUCGGGAAGCCAGGUUACCUCACUGAGUCUGCACUGCUGUAAAAUGGCAUGGCACUGUGCCACAUCAAAUGGGUGGGGUGUUACAGAUGAUCGCUUCCAGUCUCAAUUGUCAAACAUGACCCAUUUUUUUAGAUUCAACGAGAAAAAAAUUCAGUGAAUACAUGAAGAAACAACAGGAAAAACGAAAGAUGUACAAACUUUGACGAUAUGAUGAUGUGGAAGGCAACCUCAGGGAAACUGGGAAAGGCAGCCAGGACCUCGGGGACCUGGCGUACCUCCAGGCGCACAGCCCUUUCUGUGAGAGCGAGCAGGCGCCAAAGGCACGGUCCCACGGUGUGCACCAAGCAGAGCUCAGGGAGUGGUGUGCCUGGCCCUCUGCCGCGCACAGCCCAGCCCGGCCCAGCCCAGGACCUCUUUUCUUGAAGAACUCCAGCCUCAUCUGACCUCCAAAUGGACCCCAACUGCCCCUGCGCAGUUUCGGGGCUUAGCGUCUUCAUUUUCGUACUACAGAAUAGAAGGUCCCUGGGGCAGGAGGCAGGUGCAUUUUGAGCUCUACCUAAAAUGGACUCCUUUGCUUUGCACUUCUCGAGCUUUCUCCCUGCCAAGCACCUUCAUCACUACUCAGAAGACCGCCAUCUUCUCACUGCCUCCCAUUUCUGAGGUGGCUCCUGCACCUGUGGCAGCUCCUGCAAAUGCAGAGGGCACAUGCACCUCCUGUAAGAAGGGCUGCUGCUCCUGCUGCUCUGUGGGCUGUGCCAACUGUGCCCAGGGCUGGGUAUGCAAAGGGGUAUCGGAGAGGUCCAGCUGCUAUGCCUGAUAUCAGAUGUAAAUAACACAACCCUUACAAACCUAGAGGUUUUUUUAAAUACAAGCAUAACCCAUUUACUGUGUCUGUUUUCUCAAGUGAAACAUGGGAAUGACAAUAAACAGUGUUGGCCUUAUUCUGCCUCAAUGGUUUUUUUGAGGGGUGUCCUGACAUAAGAGACCCCAGACCCAGUGGAGCUGGGAUCAUCCUAUAUACUGAGUGCCCUAAAGCAAGUUGGGUUACCUGUCUCUGGUCAGUUUCCUAGCUAAAAAUGUAAGAGCAUCAUGCCAGAUGAUUUGAGGGCACAGGAAUCAGUCAUGGACCAAAGCUUUGGUGAGAUAAAUAGAAUGAAUGAGUAUGAAAAAUAAAAAUGCAAAGUUCAUUUUUCAUAUUCAACAAGGAAAUCUCAAAGGGACAUUAAGAACAAAAUAAGAGAAAAAAGAACUACUAAUGCUGCACAUCUGUUGUAAGGUGUAGUGAUAUUCAGUGUCCAGGAAGGAGGAAGGCCCUGGGUGUCUUGUAAUUCAUGGUGACUGUUAGUUAUCUGGCUAUUUGGUGAGGCAGUUGCUGUUUGAGGUUCAAAGAGGCAGAGGAGUCAUGUGACCCAAGAGUAAGCAUCAUGCUGCCUUAAAGUGCUUUGUGAAUAAGGGAUUUCAGAAGGUAACCUCUGCUGUCCUUGUGCCAUGUUUUCUGUGCCCUUGUGUUUUACAUGACAUAGGGUGCUGGUUGAGGCAAUGACAUUGCAUGAGUGCAAAUUUCAGCUGUGUCAUUUAUACCUGGGUAGCACAACCUCUCUGUGGUUCAGGCUCCUACCUUGUUCCGUGCAUGAUAACAGGGUCUGGCUGGUGGGACCACAUCAGUUAAUUCAUAUAAAGAACUUAAUACAGCGUUCA